Molecule: ribosomal RNA, 427 nt
Filed under: uncultured bacterium
Lineage: Bacteria
Description: bacterial SSU rRNA
Rfam family: Bacterial small subunit ribosomal RNA
Source: RNAcentral
UGGGGAAUAUUGCACAAUGGGCGCAAGCCUGAUGCAGCCAUGCCGCGUGUAUGAAGAAGGCCUUCGGGUUGUAAAGUACUUUCAGCGGGGAGGAAGGGGUUAAGGUUAAUAACCUUAGCCAUUGACGUUACCCGCAGAAGAAGCACCGGCUAACUCCGUGCCAGCAGCCGCGGUAAUACGGAGGGUGCAAGCGUUAAUCGGAAUUACUGGGCGUAAAGCGCACGCAGGCGGUCUGUCAAGUCGGAUGUGAAAUCCCCGGGCUCAACCUGGGAACUGCAUCCGAAACUGGCAGGCUAGAGUCUUGUAGAGGGGGGUAGAAUUCCAGGUGUAGCGGUGAAAUGCGUAGAGAUCUGGAGGAAUACCGGUGGCGAAGGCGGCCCCCUGGACAGAUACUGACGCUAAAGCGCGAAAGCGUGGGGAGCAAACA